UACGUAGGGUGCAAGCGUUGUCCGGAAUUAUUGGGCGUAAAGAGCUCGUAGGCGGUUUGUUGCGUCGGCUGUGAAAUCCCGAGGCUCAACCUCGGGUCUGCAGUCGAUACGAGCAAACUAGAGUGUUGCAGGGGAGACUGGAAUUCCUGGUGUAGCGGUGAAAUGCGCAGAUAUCGAGGAGGAACACCCGGUGGCGAAAGGCGAGUCCCUGGACAACUCCUGACA
RNAcentral lists this ribosomal RNA (225 nucleotides) under uncultured bacterium. Its description in RNAcentral is "partial 16S ribosomal RNA". It matches the Rfam family "Bacterial small subunit ribosomal RNA", at positions 524 to 745 of the family's 1533-position model. The record is from RNAcentral.